UACGUAGGGGGCGAGCGUUGUCCGGAUUUAUUGGGCGUAAAGCGCGUGUAGGCGGCCAUACAGGUCCGUUGUGAAAACUCGAGGCUUAACCUCGAGACGUCGAUGGAAACCGUAUGGCUAGAGUCCGGAAGAGGAGAGUGGAAUUCCUGGUGUAGCGGUGAAAUGCGCAGAUAUCAGGAAGAACACCCGUGGCGAAGGCGGCUCUCUGGGACGGUACUGACGCUGAGACGCGAAAGCGUGGGGAGCGAACAGG
RNAcentral lists this ribosomal RNA (253 nucleotides) under uncultured bacterium. Its description in RNAcentral is "partial 16S ribosomal RNA". It matches the Rfam family "Bacterial small subunit ribosomal RNA", at positions 524 to 776 of the family's 1533-position model. The record is from RNAcentral.